This 403-nucleotide ribosomal RNA is filed under the name Verrucomicrobiota bacterium. Its description in RNAcentral is "Verrucomicrobia bacterium partial 16S ribosomal RNA". It matches the Rfam family "Bacterial small subunit ribosomal RNA", at positions 355 to 776 of the family's 1533-position model. Lineage: Bacteria; Pseudomonadati; Verrucomicrobiota. The record is from RNAcentral.
UGGGGAAUAUUGCACAAUGGGGGAAACCCCGAUGCAGCGACGCCGCGUGAGCGAAGAAGGUUUUCGAAUCGUAAAGCUCUGUCCUAUGAGAAGAUAAUGACGGUAUCAUAGGAGGAAGCCCUGGCUAAAUACGUGCCAGCAGACGCGGGAAUACGUAUGGGGCGAGCGUUGUCCGGAAUUAUUGGGCGUAAAGGGUACGUAGGCGGUCUAUUAAGUCAGGUGUGAAAGCGUGAGGCUUAACCUCAUUAAGCACUUGAAACUGAUUGACUUGAGUGAAGGAGAGGCAAGUGGAAUUCCUGGUGUAGCGGUGAAAUACGUAGAUAUUAAGAGGAAUACCGGUGGCGAAGGCGACUUUCUGGACUUUUACUGACUCUCAGGUACGAAAGCGUGGUGAGCAAACAGG